This 131-nucleotide unclassified non-coding RNA is filed under the name uncultured Neonectria. RNAcentral describes it as "sequence contains ITS1". Lineage: Eukaryota; Fungi; Ascomycota; Sordariomycetes; Hypocreales; Nectriaceae. The record is from RNAcentral.
CCGAGUUUACAACUCCCAAACCCCUGUGAACAUACCUAUCGUUGCCUCGGCGGUGCCCGCUCCGGCGGCCCGCCAGAGGACCCCCAAACUCUUGUUUUAUACAGUAUCUUCUGAGUACUAUACAAUAGUUA